Molecule: long non-coding RNA, 1875 nt
Organism: Lolium rigidum
Lineage: Eukaryota; Viridiplantae; Streptophyta; Magnoliopsida; Poales; Poaceae
Exons: 6
Source: RefSeq, a predicted model, not a curated record
GUAUACUUCGUAUUGCAACAGAUGUGAAAGCUACGCCCUUUAAAGGCUGACCGCUUAGGAACAUUGUCAGAAGGUUCACACUCCAAGAGAAUGUAUCCAAAGACUUCAGAAGAUCUCCAUUAUGACUGCCUAAGGGCUACACAGGCUUACCGACUUCGACAACUUAAAGGUCAUGGUUGUGUGCAGCCUAUGCAGUCAGCUGCCCAAGGAGACAUCCACAAUUCACCAAAAGAGUUAGAUGUGAGUUGUCAUGGAAAUGACGAGGUCAAACAGAAGUAAGAAAAGUUAAUGGAAGUCAUUCGAAAAGGCGAAUACGUACUGACUAAACCAAGGUUGGUUCAUGCUUAUCUAGAACUUCAUACAUGCAAUGGUGGAUUAUUCACUGCAUAUGAAGCAAUCCAGGUUAUGGACCAGUCAACCUGCAAAAAGAACGAAGCUUUUGGACCAUUCUGCAAUGGAUCUCAAGUUACCCGAUGAUGUGCAAGGCAAGGAAACUGUAUGAAUCUGCCAUUUAUCUUGAACCUGAAAUUCUAAGAGCUGAACUGGCAAGGGGUGAUAUGCGUUUUGGUGAAUCCUGGAAUAAUCAAGAAAUUUUUCUACUUGAAAGAUAUUAGAGGCAAUAGGCAGAUGAUUCUCCACUCAUCAAGUUAGGUCACCUAUUUGCAGUAACAAAUCUGCUGUCCCAAUAUCAAUCUGCACUAAGUGCAGGUUAAGGAAUAACUGAAGACAAGAAUGCUGGCAUGAGCAACGGUAUUAUUUUUUCUCGCUUUAUUCAAAUGCUUGUUUACCUGAGAUCGUGCACAAAUUUAUUUGGUCACAUUCUAGCUCCCAUAUGUUUAGAUUAUUAUUUUGUCCCACCAGAGCCAUACGCAACAAAAACUGAACCAUCAUUUGUGCAAUCUGAAUAUUUAGUGAGCGUUGUUAAUUAUGUAUCCAUCUAGUCAGAAGCUCUUGAAAGCCAGUCACUCUUUUUGUAUCCUUCAAUUGCUACCCUCUGACACUCGUCAUCACAAUUCAUGCAUUGCAAUCUCGCAUAAGCCACUUGUACCAUUCUGACGCCGGUGUAUCCAUUCUCUUUGUAUAAGUCACUUCAUUCAUUUGUGCAUCAGUGUCAGCCUAUUAUAUAGGGUUUGCACACUUGUUAUUUUCCGAUAAAACUCAGUGGGAGAGUUCAUUUUAUGGUGUCCAGUCCCUUGGAAACAGAGUCAUCCAAUAGUUUAAAGCUCUUGAAAGCCAAUCAUUUCUUUUGUAUCAUUCCAUUGACUCCUUGGAUCAAUCCAUUGGUCUAUCCAUUAGACUAUUACGUAGAUUUUGCAUAUUGUUCCUCUUUGAUAUAUUCAUGAGGAUAUAUCAUUGAUGGCACUCAUCAUGCAUCGAAUUACUCCUAGCAGUCAUUUGUAAAUGGAGCCUGCCAUAUGUCGGCAACUCUAAAUAUAUACUAAACAGAAAAGAAAAAAAGAAACAAUGCUGGCAUCUAGAGGAAAAAGAGAAAGAAAAAAGAAAAAGAAAGAAAGAAAAAAAGAGAAGUGUGCUGCCAACCAAGAACCAAAAGAAAACCAAAAGAGAGUGUGCCGGCAAUUAUGUUUUAAGAGGCUCUUAUAUUUCAUUUAGUGGGAGGACUUACACAUACUUUACUUUUGCAAUCAUCAGCUGAUGCCUACUCUUCAUGUUGUAUCCAUGUCAUCAAUAGUUUCUCGACAUCAAUUGUUCCACUCAGAUCAUUCUUUUCCUCUUGACAUCUUUUCCAUCAUUCUUCCUGUGACUGGAAUCAUGAGGUUUCACUUUACUGGUUUCGGAUACUUAUUUAACUUUGCAAUAACUGAAAUUCAGAUUUGCUUACUCCAUUUACCCCACCAAACCACAGAUAAGACUCCA